GACGAACGCUGGCGGCGUGCUUAACACAUGCAAGUCGAACGGAAAGGCCCUGCUUUUGUGGGGUGCUCGAGUGGCGAACGGGUGAGUAACACGUGAGUAACCUGCCCUUGACUUUGGGAUAACUUCAGGAAACUGGGGCUAAUACCGGAUAGGAGCUCCUGCUGCAUGGUGGGGGUUGGAAAGUUUCGGCGGUUGGGGAUGGAUUCGCGGCUUAUCAGCUUGUUGGUGGGGUAGUGGCUUACCAAGGCUUUGACGGGUAGCCGGCCUGAGAGGGUGACCGGCCACAUUGGGACUGAGAUACGGCCCAGACUCCUACGGGAGGCAGCAGUGGGGAAUAUUGCACAAUGGGCGGAAGCCUGAUGCAGCAGCGCCGCGUGCGGGAUGACGGCCUUCGGGUUGUAAACCGCUUUCGCCUGUGACGAAGCGUGAGUGACGGUAAUGGGUAAAGAAGCACCGGCUAACUACGUG
RNAcentral lists this ribosomal RNA (468 nucleotides) under uncultured bacterium. RNAcentral describes it as "partial 16S ribosomal RNA". It matches the Rfam family "Bacterial small subunit ribosomal RNA", at positions 28 to 507 of the family's 1533-position model. The record is from RNAcentral.